AUUGAACGCUGGCGGCAGGCCUAACACAUGCAAGUCGAACGAGUGGCGGACGGGUGAGUAAUGUCUGGGAAACUGCCCGAUGGAGGGGGAUAACUACUGGAAACGGUAGCUAAUACCGCAUACCCUCGGAUGUGCCCAGAUGGGAUUAGCUAGUAGGUGGGGUAACGGCUCACCUAGGCGACACUCCCUAGCUGGUCUGAGAGGAUGACCAGCCCCACUCGAACUGCGACACUGUCCAGAAGCCUACGGGAGGCAGCAGUGGGGAAUAUUGCACAAUGGGCACAAGCCUGAUGCAACCAAGCCGCGUGUAUGAAGAAGUCCGUCGGGGUGUAAAGUACUUUCAGCGAGGAGGCGUUACUCGCAGAAGAAGCACCUGCUAACUCCGUGCCAGCAGCCGCGGUAAUUC
This 406-nucleotide ribosomal RNA is filed under the name uncultured bacterium. RNAcentral's name for it is "partial 16S ribosomal RNA". It matches the Rfam family "Bacterial small subunit ribosomal RNA", at positions 30 to 526 of the family's 1533-position model. The record is from RNAcentral.